GCCCAUUCAAAUUUCGGGAGGCCUUGGCAUCUGCACUAAUAAAUUUCUCAUCGAAUCCUCCUCGAUGCGCCGCCCAAUUCCCCAAUCAAAUUGCUGGCGAAAUCAAAAGUUUAGAAGAAUGUUUGCUGUCGAGUGUUUCCGAUAAAUUACUAUCAAUUCAUCAUCAGAUCUGAGAUAUUGAUCACCCAUUUUUCUUCUUCUUUUCUUUUUCAAACCCCAU
Molecule: long non-coding RNA, 220 nt
Filed under: Elaeis guineensis (African oil palm)
Lineage: Eukaryota; Viridiplantae; Streptophyta; Magnoliopsida; Arecales; Arecaceae
Description: long non-coding RNA (EGUI_LNC054001)
Source: RNAcentral